GUGAAAUUGUUGAAAGGGAAACGUUUGACACCAGCUAUGUAGGCGGAAAAUCAGUCAACUGCAGUGAGGGGUGGUUUGGGUUCGGACCGUAAGGCCGGCCUUCGCCCCAUCUUUGUUGCAAGUGAUGCACUUUUUCGUCCGCAGGUCAACAUCAGUUUCGCCCGCUGGACAAAACCCCAAGAGAAGGUAGCAGCUUAGGCUGUGUUAUAGCUCUGGGGCGAUACAGUGGGUGGGACUGAGGAUUCGCAGUGUGUGCUCUCGGGCAAGGCUGACUGGGUGCUCUGGGGUUGUUUGGCGUACAAUGCAUGCAUUUUGCGCCUUGUCUUCUUCAUACUCACUUAGAUCGGUUCUUCCACGCUUAGGAUGUUGACUUAAUGGUUUUAAACGACCCGUCUUGAAACACGGACCAAGGAGUCUAACAUGCAUGCAAGUGUUUGGGUGGCAAACCCAUGCGCGUAAUGAAAGUGAACGUAGGUGCGAUCCGCAAGGUGCAGCAUCGACCGAUCUUGAUAUUUUUGGAUAGAUUUGAGUAAGAGCAUGUAUGCUGGGACCCGAAAGAUGGUGAACUAUGCCUGAAUAGGGUGAAACCAGAGGA
This 595-nucleotide ribosomal RNA is filed under the name uncultured fungus. RNAcentral describes it as "LSU rRNA". It matches the Rfam family "Eukaryotic large subunit ribosomal RNA", at positions 399 to 859 of the family's 3401-position model. The record is from RNAcentral. Lineage: Eukaryota; Fungi.